GAUGAAGAACUCAGCGAAAUGCGAUACUUGGUGUGAAUUGCAGAAUCCCGUGAACCAUCGAGUCUUUGAACGCAAGUUGCGCCCGAAGCCACUAGGCCGAGGGCACGCCUGCCUGGGCGUCACACGCCGUUGCCCCCCCAUCUACUCCUUCGGGAUUGCGGGGGGGCGGAUGAUGGCCUCCCGUGCGCCUAGCCGCGCGGUUGGCAUAAAUACCAAGUCCUCGGCGACGCACGCCACGACAAUCGGUGGUUGCGAAACCUCGGUUGCCCGUCGUGUGCGUUCGUCGCGCAUCGAGGGCUCGAAAAAAUGCUCGGCUCCGGCUGGGCUUUCAACGCGACCCCAGGUCAGGCGGGGUUACCCGCUGAAUUUAAGCAUAUCAAUAAGCGGAGGA
This 391-nucleotide unclassified non-coding RNA is filed under the name soil metagenome. RNAcentral describes it as "partial contains 5.8S ribosomal RNA, internal transcribed spacer 2, and large subunit ribosomal RNA". The stretch from base 1 to 122 matches the Rfam family "5.8S ribosomal RNA", at positions 35 to 154 of the family's 154-position model. The record is from RNAcentral.